GCUGGGCAUGGUGGCGCAUGCCUGUAAUCCCAGCUACUCAGGAGGCUGAGGCAGGAGAAUUGCUUGAACUCAGGAGUCGGAGGUUGCAGUGAACCGAGAUUGCACCACUGCACUCCAGCCUGGGCAACAGGGCAAGACUCUGUCUCAA
Non-coding RNA from Homo sapiens (human), 148 nucleotides. It matches the Rfam family "Metazoan signal recognition particle RNA". Rfam says of the family: The signal recognition particle (SRP) is a universally conserved ribonucleoprotein. Lineage: Eukaryota; Metazoa; Chordata; Mammalia; Primates; Hominidae. The record is from Rfam.